Long non-coding RNA from Sinocyclocheilus rhinocerous, 100 nucleotides. RefSeq lists it as uncharacterized. The record is from RefSeq and is a predicted model, not a curated record. The transcript has 3 exons. NCBI's taxonomy places the organism in Eukaryota, Metazoa, Chordata, Actinopteri, Cypriniformes, Cyprinidae.
UGAAAAAGUAGCGUUUGUAAGCGCAGUGCUGUUUUGUGUACAGCUGUUACCGGGGAAACAGCUGUUUUUACCGCUCCAAAAGCGGCACCUAGUGGCAAAG